RNAcentral lists this ribosomal RNA (301 nucleotides) under uncultured bacterium. Its description in RNAcentral is "partial 16S ribosomal RNA". It matches the Rfam family "Bacterial small subunit ribosomal RNA", at positions 509 to 809 of the family's 1533-position model. The record is from RNAcentral.
CAGUCGCCGCGGGAAUACGGAGGGUGCAAGCGUUAAUCGGAAUUACUGGGCGUAAAGCGUGCGUAGGCGGUUCGUUAAGUCUGUUGUGAAAGCCCCGGGCUCAACCUGGGAAUGGCAAUGGAUACUGGCGAGCUAGAGUGUGUCAGAGGAUGGUGGAAUUCCCGGUGUAGCGGUGAAAUGCGUAGAGAUCGGGAGGAACAUCAGUGGCGAAGGCGGCCAUCUGGGACAACACUGACGCUGAGGCACGAAAGCGUGGGGAGCAAACAGGAUUAGAUACCCCAGUAGUCCCUGUCUCUUAUAU